AUUCAAAAACAAUUUCCCUAUGGAGAAUAUUAAUGGGAUUUAUUCUUCCAGAACUUGAUUGUUGAUCUCUAAUAGUCUAACUGUAGGCAGUCAUG
Long non-coding RNA from Sinocyclocheilus grahami, 95 nucleotides. RefSeq lists it as uncharacterized. The record is from RefSeq and is a predicted model, not a curated record. The transcript has 3 exons. NCBI's taxonomy places the organism in Eukaryota, Metazoa, Chordata, Actinopteri, Cypriniformes, Cyprinidae.